Molecule: non-coding RNA, 4357 nt
Organism: Rattus norvegicus (Norway rat)
Lineage: Eukaryota; Metazoa; Chordata; Mammalia; Rodentia; Muridae
Source: RefSeq, a predicted model, not a curated record
UAUACCAUAACAAAAAAACAAAAUUUCCUAAGAGUAUUCAGAUACAGAUGAAAAAGAUAUAAGGAGAUAAGUAAUCCAUUCAUUUAGCUGAAAUAUGAAAAAUAAGAGUUUAAAUUUCUACAGACAUUAUAAUGUUGAAACACGCUCUCCUUUUGUUGAUAAACCUGGAAAAUUUGUAAGGCAGUGCAAUACAGGGUACUGGUUAUAUGUAAAAGCUACUUUUAUAAGUGAGGUAGAUACAGAAAAAAGCCAUAAAUCCUGUAAUAUAGAACAUGUCACCAAGAUGACAGGUUGAAUAUCAAGAACUUAGUUGUGAAAAACCCUAUGCUUAUGAAGGUUUGGUCUUGUCUGAAGGUACCAGGAAGGUAUGAGAUUUUAUUCUUAUAAAAAUGAUGUUAGUAAUUAUUAAGUUUUAUAAAAAAAUAUGUAAUCUGAAGGUAGCAAUACUCUGAUAGUGGCUGGACUGUGCCUAAGUAAAAUUAUCACUUCACUGAUUUUCAUGUGAAAAUGCAAAGAAGUCAGAUUCUUCAUGCUACCAAAGGUGGCAUAUGUAUGGGGGAUGGCGGGUGGGUGUGAGUGUGUGUGUGUGUGUGUGUGUGUGUGUGUGUGUAUGUGUGUGUAUGUGUGUGUGUGUGGGUGUGUGUGUGCGUGCGCGCGCGCGUGCAUGUGCUCACACACACAGUCCAAGUGUUUACAGCAGAACUGUUUCUUUAUAUGUAGAACACAGCAUAUAGAGUCUAUGAGCAAUCUAAAAAUAGAAAAGACAAAGUUUUACACGAGCUGUCACUUGUUUCUUUUCAUUAAAUAUCUGAAUCUCCUACUUUUCAGAUGCUUCUUAUUUGGCUAGACAGCUGGAUAGAUUCCAGUAGCUUCUUUCUUUGUAUAUUUAAAAGUUUGUAUUUCACUUUCCUUGUAUAAUAUAUAUCUUUAAUCUGUUUUUACACCACCAUAAUUAAAAAUGGUAAACUGCAUUUGAUGUUGGUCAAAAUGAACUCUAAUGUGCGUACUUACCCAGGACAAUAGUGACAAACAUAAAAGUAUUUCAAUGGUUGGUCAGGGCAUUCAGCAACUCCACAUGCAACCAGGAAAGUUGAAUUCCAAACAACCUAUACACCCAGAGAUGAAUAUGAAGCAUGUGUCAGAGAGGAAAAUAAUGUGAAGAAAAAAUUAUAAAUGUAAAAUUAAACACCUUUUGUUUACUUUGUUUCUAUAUGCCUUCUAGACAUACUUAAAUUAUGUAUCAAUCAGAUUACAAAUGUUAAAAGAGCCUUCAGAGCCUGAUCUUAGUCAGCUACUUCAGCAAAGCUUACAGGAAGCACCUCGGGAGAUUAGGGAGGCUAACAACUGCUUCAAGCCAAUCUCAGAGACUCUGGUGUUCUUUAAAUACAUUUUUGACAGUUUCCAAGAUGAUGAGAAUGCAGAACGCUGUGCUGAGGCCAAUGAUCUUCAGGUCAUAACGAAAGACAUCAAGGAGUCCAUGGAUACCUGGAGGACCCUGGUCUCCAGCAGAAGGUAUGUCCCAGAUUAAAGAUGUGCCUCGAUAUCUGCAUUAAAGGUAUGUGUUGAAACAGAUCAAAAGUGUCUGUCAUCCCACCUCAAGAUCUGCAUCAAAAGCUUGUGUCUUCCAGCUUCAAGCUCCUGAUAAAAGACAUAUUGUCUUCUGGCCUCCAGAUCAAGACAAGAGGUCUUUGUCCAUUUUGGGCUGUAGUUCAUUCCAGAUAUAGUCAAGUUGGCAACCAAGAAUAUCCAUCAUAAUCCACCCCUUGUUAUUUUGACAAAAAUCAUAUUUCAUGUCCAAAUGAAAAUAACUAGGUGACAAUAAUGCCUAAUAAGAUAAGACUGUCCCUCACACAACUACAAAUGCAUGAAAAAUAAUCAGGUCAUAAUAAUGUCGAUUAAGAUAUAACUAUUUCUCAUACACUCAUACAACCACAAAUGCAUUGUAAAUUUAGAAGAGGUAGCAGUGUCCUUUUAACCAUGUCGUUUUAAUAUCUCAUGUAAAUGCAAGGAAGAGAGAAAGAGAGAGAGAGAGAGAGAGAGAGAGAGAGAGAGAGAGAGAGAGAGUGAGAGAGAGAAUUUGUCCACAAGUUACAUGAUUCUAUAGAACCCUGAUUAUUGCAAAUUUUGGUACCAUCAUAGUGGGGUAUUGCUGUGACAUCCUUGACCAUGUUUUUGAAAGAACUGUAGAAGGACUUUGAAACUUUGAGUUAGAAGAUCCAUUGUAUAUUAAGAGAUCUGUGGGAAGAUUUUGGAGCUUGGAAUGUUGAACAGUACAGAAGAGGGAGGCCUGGUGUGUUAAAUUUCAAAUGGAAGAUUAAAGAUUCUCAAGUUAAUAAAAAAAAAAAGAUUCUAUUAGGGCCAUCUUCUAUUUUGCUUUAAGAUACUGUGGUUGUCGUUAGCUGGAACUGAAAAAUCAGCAGUCAUGAACAAGACACCACAACUACUAAAGUAAGCCUUUGUGUUUCAGCAUCCACUGAUAUGGGUUAUCUGGAGAUGUGAAUAGGGGUGAUUAAGAAGAGACUAGCAUCACUGAGGUGAACCUACUGGGAAGUGUUUCCUGAGUGCACAGAGAAGCUGUGUUCCAGAUAUGGCCAACGUUGUACCUUUUACUAGCAGCUGUAGUUGGUAAUGUAAAAGAGUCACACAAAUGGUACUAGUUUGAAGGCAUGAAAGGGUCAUGGAGAGUAACUAAAGGUUGCCACUGUAAGCGAUCAGGAGAGACCACUGAGGAAGCUGCAGUCACAGUGGCAGUUUAAGGCCCAGGACUGAAGAGAUCAUGAAAUGAAUUUGAGGCUUAGUACCAGCAGAAGACCUCAGCAUUUUGAAGGUACCAUGUAACUACCACCAGUGAUAGCAGAAUCAAUAAAUUGGAGCUAUCUGGAGCCUUGAAGACAAGCUGUGUGUGCCACAGGGAAGAGGUGACAUAAGCCAUUUGGAGGAGCCCAAGAUCAUAUCUGGAUCCUAGACACUAGACAUUGAGUAAUUUAUACUCUUGGGUGUAGUUGUUUUAUGGUUCAUAUUAUGUCCAUGCGCUGCUUCUUCCCUCUUGAAACAUGUAUUUUAUUUAAUUUUGAUUUUUAUUGCCAUGCACAACUGAAAGUCUUUAAAUAUUUUGAAGAGAUUUUUGAUUUUUCAGCAAGAUGGAUAUUUUAAAGUGAUUGAAAUUUUAAUGCUUUUGAAUUUGUAAAAACUGUGGGACCUUUUAAGUUACUUAUGUUUUAAUGUAAGAUUCAGGGGAUGAAUAAGAAUAGAAAGUUUGUGGCUUAAAAGUGAGUUAUGUGUUUUUGUGUCAGCUUAACAAGGGACAGUGGUACUGGUGAGUUUUGUGUAGCAACUUGACCAGGUCAUUGGACAAGAAGGAUCUUCAGGUGAGAAAAAGCCUCCCUGAGAAAGACAUGGAGGCAUAUAGUUACUGAUCAAUGAGGGACUGCCCAGACUAUUGUAGGUGGGGACAUCCCAGGGUUGGUGGUCCUGAAUUCUAUAAGAAAGUGGGUUAAGCAAGGUAUAGAAGGCAUAGAAGUAAGUAGCACCCCCCAUGGCAUCUGUAUCAGCUCCUCUUGCCAGGUCUGAAUUCUUGUCCUCAAUUCAUUAAGGGAUGAACAGCAAUGUGAAAGUAUAAGCCAAAUAAAUCCUUUCCUCCCGUGUUUGUUUUUUUCUCAUGAUAUUUUAUCAGAGCAAAAAAGAAAAAAACAAAACAAAACCCUAAACAAAUAAACAACAACAACAACAACAACAACAACAACACCCUUGACUAAGAUAUCUGCCUAUAUAAUAUCUGGAUCUUCUCUCCAAUCAGCCAUUCAGGAUCCCCAUAACACUUUCUCUCUUAGCUUUCUUUGGUAGGCCCUAUUGGACAGCAACCAGGAUUGAGGCAUAGUUGUAUAAUCCUUGCUAAAGCAGUCACCUGAUUUGUCUGCAAAUCCGCUGUCAAGGGGUCUGGAGAGAAAACUUCAGGAAGACUGUUCCCAUUUUCAAGAGCCACACAAAGCUGAGGUACAGCCCUGGUCAAGUACUUCAAAACAUUUUCUUGCCUCUCACUCACGGAGGAAAUAUGUUGUCUUACCUGAGUAUAGUGUCCGACUUUAACACCAACUUUUUUUGGGCCGAAACCAAAGACAAAAUCAAGGGAUUCAUCAUACCAAUCUUGGAUUACAGAAGACCACGAUGCAGGGUAAUUUGCCAUGAACAAAUUCUCACCACAUUUUAAUGCUGUAGGAAAAAAUAGAACAUUCAUUAAGUCAGCAGGAAAACACACACACACACUCACACACACACACACACACACACAGAGAGAGAGAGAGAGAGAGAGAGAGAGAGAGAGAGAGAGAGAGAGAGAGAGAGAGAGAGAGGGGAAGAG